Non-coding RNA from Anas platyrhynchos (mallard), 2206 nucleotides. The record is from RefSeq and is a predicted model, not a curated record. Lineage: Eukaryota; Metazoa; Chordata; Aves; Anseriformes; Anatidae.
GAAGAUUACUUUGCAGAGAGAAGUUAGCAGAAGAACCUGAUUAAACCUCUCAGCAAGGGGAAAAUGCUCAUGCUGACUGUCAAAAUAAUCACGAGGCACGCGUACCCUUCUCUUCUCGGAAUAGUUUGCAGCUGACAAAAUCCCUUCUUGGUUUCCUGAAUCGUUGGCAGCUUUAAAUAGUGUGUAUAAAUGCAAAGGUGGCUAGCAGGGGCCAGUUUCAAACCAACUUUUAAAAAUGCUGCAGAAGAUCUCUGUGUUAUUAGUUAAUACUUGUCCUCUGCAUUUUCUCAUUUGUUUUCCAAGCGGCAGGAAUAGCUUCCUUGGGGCUGAAGAAGCUCAGCAAUGCAAGGUCCACAUCAGCUCUGCUUCAGAGCCCUAAGAUCACAGGGCUCACUGAUGGGAGGCAGUUAGGUACAGCAGUGGUAUUGAUGAGCUUCCUAGGAACUAGCUUGAACUAAUUGCAACUAUUGAACUACCUUGUGCAAAUUAUAUUGCAGAGGAUGCAGGAAGUAAUUGCAGUUUAAGGCAGGUGGUGAUGAUUAGAAGACGCCUACCAGCUUUCCCUCCCAAGGAUAAUCAGGCAGGCUGGAAAGGAAGGUGUUUCACAUGGAUGGUGCCUUUCAUAGAGCCUCUGCUUUAAUUAAUACUAUUUUGGUCUAUAUUUAUCUGCAUUGUAGCUCUUCAUAUGGGCAAAGGUAAUGAUAAUGUAACGCUUGCUAAUUUAGCAGCUUUAGUAUACCAGAUAUGUAAUUGAAGUAAGAGCAGCCAUGUCUCCAGAAGUUUCUUCUGCCUGUAGAACCAAAUGUUCACAAAAGAAAUUAUUUUUUCUCAUUUUCAUAUAGUAAUCAGGUAUAGGGCAGUGAAAUGGCUUGCUCAGGGCUGGAGUGUAGGUAUUGGCAGGGCAGUCAGGGGAACAGUUCAGUCCAGUGCAGUUUUUGUAUGGUAGCUGCUUCUCAAAAGAAAUGCGUUUACAAAAAUCAGAUUCUCUCUUAUAAUGAGAACAUUUGCUUUAAUACCAAAAUAGAUGGCAUUUUAUGUAAGCUGGACUUGAUUUUUGUGUCAUUCAUGAAGGUAAAAAGAACAAGCCCUUCAAGCAUUUUAAUUCUCAUGAAAUAACAUCCACCAUUAAUAUGAGCCAGAAAAUAACUGUCAGACCUUGCACGCCAUCCUAAAAUUAUUCCAGCACAUUGUUAGUUGUUUUGAGUUACAACUUGGUAUAAUUGUAGCAGCCAUUAUGAGGAGUUUUAUGUGCUUUUGGAAGUGUCAGUGCAGUAAAGACAGAACAGAUUUUUUGGGGCCAGCAGAGUCUUAAGUAACCUGUUCACCGUCACUGAGUCCUCAAAUUUAUAAAUAUUAGAAUAAGUUACCAGAAAGGACUCUCUCUUUUCUGUGGGAGUCACUGGGAGAAUAAAUAGAUUUUAGAAACAGGAAUCCAAGGAAAGUUAACAAAACAAAUUAUUAAAAAGGGCUGGAACAUUCUCUAGCCUAUCUGGGGAGCUUUUAUUCAAUAACUUCUAUGAAAUAAAAGACCCAUAAAUAGUAUUUUUAAACUACGUUGACUGAACCGAGAUGUUGAUCUGUAAGAAGUGCUUUCUUUUCUCAGUAGAUACAUAACCUAAAUUACACAAAAAUGUGUAUUGUAUGUAUGGUGAUGUGCAUAUAUCUUGAUACAUGCCUUCAAAUUUUGGUACCUUGAAGCAAAUCCUCUUGGCUGUUAUAUUUCAUUCCUUUUAUAAAAGGUGAGGCUUUAAUGCCUUUUCUUGCUGCAAAAAUGGGGGUUUUCAUAGCAUAACUCUUUUCAAGGGAAGCUUUUUAAGGUUGUAUGUUUUACUAGGCUUUGUAGUGGAGUUUCUUUAUUUGGCUACUAUCUGAUUUAUGCUUGUAAAUGUAAGGCAAGUGUUUUGUAUAGACAUAGCCAUUAAGGGGGAAAAAUCACGCCCAGGUUUUCUUACAAGGAUCUGCUUUCUUCUGUAGACAUUUGUGGAAAUACCUAACACUUCAAGUUUUAGAUGUUUAAUAGGUCACAUUACAUUUAUUGUUUCCAGUAAAAUAUUUUUAUUGUCCAAACCAAUGGCAAAUGUCUGCCACGUCCUCAGAAAGCCGAAGUGUUAGGAAACCAAACCCCGGUCUACAAGGGGCCUUUUUCUGAUUUGGGAUCAGUCCAUAAAUCCAUGUAACUAAUAAAGACCAUGGCUUAUACCCUUAA